UUGCCAGACUCCUACGGGAGGCAGCAGUGGGGAAUAUUGGACAAUGGGGGGAACCCUGAUCCAGCGACGCCGCGUGAGUGAAGAAGUAUUUCGGUAUGUAAAGCUCUAUCAGCAGGGAAGAAGAUGACGGUACCUGACUAAGAAGCCCCGGCUAACUACGUGCCAGCAGCCGCGGUAAUACGUAGGGGGCAAGCGUUAUCCGGAAUUACUGGGUGUAAAGGGAGCGUAGACGGUAAUGCAAGUCUGGAGUGAAAGGCGGGGGCCCAACCCCCGGACUGCUCUGGAAACUGUGUAACUGGAGUGCAGGAGAGGCAGGCGGAAUUCCUAGUGUGGCGGUGAAAUGCGUAGAUAUUAGGAGGAACACCAGUGGCGAAGGCGGCCUGCUGGACUGUAACUGACGUUGAGGCUCGAAAGCGUGGGGAGCAAACAGGAUUAGAUACCCGUGUA
RNAcentral lists this ribosomal RNA (447 nucleotides) under uncultured bacterium. RNAcentral's name for it is "bacterial SSU rRNA". It matches the Rfam family "Bacterial small subunit ribosomal RNA", at positions 328 to 792 of the family's 1533-position model. The record is from RNAcentral.